AAAAUUACAAGGAAGAAAUCAAAAGAUAAAAUGAGCAUAUUAUAGCCUUUCUGUCCUGAAGAAUGUCCCCAAGGAACAGAAACUUCAGAUAGAACCCCAAAAGUAUAAACCCAAAAAUGCCAUAAAAACUUUUAUUCCACAGUAAUUCUGCUGGCAAAACUUAUUCCCAAAAUCUUAGUUUUUCCUAGCAGCCAUGCAUAUCGGUACCAAUCUAGCAUAAAAAUAAAGCCUUUUUGCCUUCUUCCACAAUGUCUGGA
RNAcentral lists this unclassified non-coding RNA (257 nucleotides) under Hevea brasiliensis (rubber tree). Lineage: Eukaryota; Viridiplantae; Streptophyta; Magnoliopsida; Malpighiales; Euphorbiaceae. The record is from RNAcentral.